RNAcentral lists this ribosomal RNA (253 nucleotides) under uncultured bacterium. Its description in RNAcentral is "partial 16S ribosomal RNA". It matches the Rfam family "Bacterial small subunit ribosomal RNA", at positions 524 to 776 of the family's 1533-position model. The record is from RNAcentral.
UACGUAGGGCGCAAGCGUUGUCCGGAAUUAUUGGGCGUAAAGCGCUCGUAGGCGGUUUGUCGCGUCUGUCGUGAAAGCUUGGGGCUUAACCCCAAGUCUGCGGUGGAUACGGGCAGACUAGAGGCAGGUAGGGGAGAACGGAAUUCCCGGUGUAGCGGUGAAAUGCGCAGAUAUCGGGAGGAACACCGGUGGCGAAGGCGGUUCUCUGGGCCUGUACUGACGCUGAGGAGCGAAAGCGUGGGGAGCGAACAGG